AUCCCUGUAGCGCAAUGGAUAUGGCAUUGGACUUCUAAUCCAAAGGUCAUGGGUUCGAAUCCCACCUGGGAUG
Non-coding RNA from Trichonephila clavata, 73 nucleotides. The record is from the annotation of a GenBank genome assembly. Lineage: Eukaryota; Metazoa; Arthropoda; Arachnida; Araneae; Nephilidae.